Molecule: ribosomal RNA, 467 nt
Filed under: uncultured bacterium
Lineage: Bacteria
Description: partial 16S ribosomal RNA
Rfam family: Bacterial small subunit ribosomal RNA
Source: RNAcentral
GACGAACGCUGGCGGCGUGCUUAACACAUGCAAGUCGAACGGAAAGGCCUCUUUCGGGGGGUACUCGAGUGGCGAACGGGUGAGUAACACGUGAGUAACCUGCCCUUGACUUUGGGAUAACUUCAGGAAACUGGGGCUAAUACCGGAUAGGAGCUCCUGCUGCAUGGUGGGGGUUGGAAAGUUUCGGCGGUUGGGGAUGGACUCGCGGCUUAUCAGCUUGUUGGUGGGGUAGUGGCUUACCAAGGCUUUGACGGGUAGCCGGCCUGAGAGGGUGACCGGCCACAUUGGGACUGAGAGACGGCCCAGACUCCUACGGGAGGCAGCAGUGGGGAAUAUUGCACAAUGGGUGGAGGCCUGAUGCAGCAACGCCGUGUGCGGGAUGACGGCCUUCGGGUUGUAAACCGCUUUCGCUCAUGACGAAGCUUUGUGUGACGGUAGUGGGUAAAGAAGCACCGGCUAACUACGUG